RNAcentral lists this ribosomal RNA (339 nucleotides) under Armadillo officinalis (oak-woodland pillbug). RNAcentral describes it as "partial large subunit ribosomal RNA". It matches the Rfam family "Bacterial large subunit ribosomal RNA", at positions 1955 to 2559 of the family's 2925-position model. The record is from RNAcentral. Lineage: Eukaryota; Metazoa; Arthropoda; Malacostraca; Isopoda; Armadillidae.
GGUAGCAUAAUCAUUUGUUAUCUAAAUAAUAACUAGUAUGAAUGGUCUGACGAGAAAAUAACUUUCUAAAAAAGAAAAAUAAAAAUUUAUUUUAAAGUAAAAAAGCUUUAAAGCCUUAGAAAGACGAGAAGACCCUAGAACCUGCCUAUAUAUAUAGUUUGUUGGGGUGACAUUUUUUACAAACAAAUAACUAUUAAAACUUAUUAAUAGACCCUAACUAUCUUUAGAUAAAAAAAAAAAAGGUACUCUAGGGAUAACAGCAUAAUCUUCUUCUAGAGCCCUAAUCGACAAGAAAGAUUUUGACCUCGAUGUUGAAUUGAUAUUUCUUUCUAAAGCAGA